CUAGCUAGUAAAAUUAAGCAAAAAGAACUUUAAGUUUAACCCCCCGAAACUAGGUGAGCUACUUCGAAACAACUAAUAGAGCUAACCCAUCUCUGUUGCAAUAGAGUGGGACGAUUUCCAAGUAGAGGUGACAAACCUACCGCACCAAGAGAUAGCUGGUUACUCAAAAAAAGAAUUUAAGUUCAACCUUAAGUUUUUUAAGUUUCUUUAAACAUUCACAAAACUUAAGAGCCAUUCAAAUAAGGCACAGCUUAUUUGAAAUAGGAAACAACCUAAAAAAUCGGGUAAUCAAAAAUGAAAAAAAUAUCAAGUGGGCCUAAAAACAGCCAUCUUUUAAAAAACGUUAAAGUUUUUUAUUUAUUUUCAUCUAAUACUGUUACCACUGUAGAACCCAUAAACUUUAUUGAGUAAUUCUAUACUUUUAUAGAAGAUUUUAUGCUAGAACUAGUAACAAGAAGUAGAGCUUCUCAAAAAUGUAAGCUUAAGCCACUUUAGACAAUCUACUGGCAAUUAACGCAAAUGAACCAAUUUUAACAACAUUAACAAGAAAAUCCUAAAAACACUAACGUUAAUCUUACACUAGAACAUUUUUUGAAAGAUUAAAAGAANGAGAAGGAACUCGGCAAACUUUAACCCCGCCUGUUUAC
This 647-nucleotide ribosomal RNA is filed under the name Mantidactylus sp. ZSM 652_2000. Its description in RNAcentral is "partial 16S ribosomal RNA". The stretch from base 1 to 442 matches the Rfam family "Bacterial large subunit ribosomal RNA", at positions 664 to 1300 of the family's 2925-position model. Lineage: Eukaryota; Metazoa; Chordata; Amphibia; Anura; Mantellidae. The record is from RNAcentral.